CCCUUAGAUGUUCUGGGCCGCACGCGCGCUACACUGAUUCAUGCAACAAGUUUUGUCCUUGGCUGAUAGGCCUGGGUAAUCUUUGAACGUGAAUCGUGAUGGGGAUAGAUGAUUGCAAUUAUUCAUCUUCAACGAGGAAUUCCUAGUAAACGCAAGUCAUCAGCUUGCAUUGAUUACGUCCCUGCCCUUUGUACACACCGCCCGUCGCACCUACCGAUUGAAUGGUCCGGUGAAAACCUCGGAUUCUUGUUUGAUUCUAGCAAUAGAGACUUACGGGAAGAAGUCGUUUAAACCUUACCAUUUAGAGGAAGGUGAAGUCGUAACA
Molecule: ribosomal RNA, 325 nt
Filed under: uncultured eukaryote
Lineage: Eukaryota
Description: partial 18S ribosomal RNA
Rfam family: Eukaryotic small subunit ribosomal RNA
Source: RNAcentral